This 246-nucleotide unclassified non-coding RNA is filed under the name Hevea brasiliensis (rubber tree). Lineage: Eukaryota; Viridiplantae; Streptophyta; Magnoliopsida; Malpighiales; Euphorbiaceae. The record is from RNAcentral.
AGUAAUGGUUGGCUCGAGUGUGGAAUGUGGAAACCAUGCAGAAAGCUGUCCAAAAAAAUAGCAAUGUUGACAGUAGAUGUAUCAGUGGAGAGGCAUCAAAUGGUCAUUGUGAGGGAAAUCCCUUAAAUGGAGAGCAGAUGGAGUAUGCCUGUAUGGAAUGUUCUUUAUCUGCAGAGCAAGUGGAGUCUAUUGCUACACAAUCGGCUGAACAUUGCACAGAAGAUGGGCUACUCUUCGAUGUUGUCG